RNAcentral lists this unclassified non-coding RNA (187 nucleotides) under plant metagenome. Its description in RNAcentral is "partial contains small subunit ribosomal RNA and internal transcribed spacer 1". The stretch from base 1 to 46 matches the Rfam family "Eukaryotic small subunit ribosomal RNA", at positions 1786 to 1831 of the family's 1831-position model. The record is from RNAcentral.
AAGUCGUAACAAGGUUUCCGUAGGUGAACCUGCGGAAGGAUCAUUAAUGAAUGCAAGGAUGCUCUCUUUAGAGGUCCGACCCAUUUUUAAUCUUACACCGUGAACCAACUAUUUUUACACCUCUUUUAAACACUUUAAGUUUAUUGAAUGUUUUAAAGUCUCUUUAUUGAGCAUUAAAGUUAUAAAA